CGGUCGGUAGGGACUGCGGAG
This 21-nucleotide ribosomal RNA is filed under the name Chroogomphus rutilus. Its description in RNAcentral is "partial 18S ribosomal RNA". Lineage: Eukaryota; Fungi; Basidiomycota; Agaricomycetes; Boletales; Gomphidiaceae. The record is from RNAcentral.